Molecule: ribosomal RNA, 494 nt
Filed under: uncultured bacterium
Lineage: Bacteria
Description: bacterial SSU rRNA
Rfam family: Bacterial small subunit ribosomal RNA
Source: RNAcentral
GACGAACGCUGGCGGCGUGCUUAACACAUGCAAGUUGAGCGACGAACCAGGGCUUGCCCUGGGGCAAAGCAGCGAACGGGUGAGUAACACGUGGGUAACGUGCCCCGAUAACCGGGACAACCCGAGGAAACUCGGGCUAAUACCGGAUGUGCCCACCAGACAUCAGUCUGGUGUGUAAAGGAAGCUUCGGCCUCCGUAUCGGGAGCGGCCCGCGGCCCAUUAGUUAGUUGGUGAGGUAACGGCUCACCAAGACCGCGAUGGGUAGCUGGUCUGAGAGGACGAUCAGCCACACUGGGACUGAGACACGGCCCAGACUCCUACGGGAGGCAGCAGUGGGGAAUCUUGCGCAAUGCGCGAAAGCGUGACGCAGCAACGCCGCGUGGGGGAAGACGGCCUUCGGGUUGUAAACCCCUUUCAGGAGGGACGAAGGUGUGACGGUGAAUAGCCGAUCGCACUGACGGUACCUCCACAAGAAGCUCCGGCUAACUACGUGC